GGAGGGGGCAAGCGUUGUUCGGAAUUAUUGGGCGUAAAGGGCGCGUAGGCGGUUGGGUGUGUCUGACGUGAAAGCCCUUGGCUUAACCAAGGAAGUGCGUCUUAUACUGCCCGACUCGAGUCCGGGAGAGGAGAGUGGAAUUCCCAGCGUAGCGGUGAAAUGCGUAGAUACUGGGAGGAACACCGGUGGCGAAGGCGGCUCUCUGGACCGGUACUGACGCUGAGGCGCGAAAGCUAGGGGAGCAAACAGGAUUAGAUACCCUGGUAGUCCUAGCUGUAAACGAUGGGCACUUGGUGUAGCGGGUAUCGACCCCCCUGCUGUGCCCGAAGCUAACGCAUUAAGUGCCCCGCCUGGGGGAGUACGGUCGCAAGGCUG
Molecule: ribosomal RNA, 375 nt
Filed under: uncultured organism
Description: partial 16S ribosomal RNA
Rfam family: Bacterial small subunit ribosomal RNA
Source: RNAcentral